UCCGAGGGGGUGGUCGUAGACGAGGUAGUGCCCACCCCUAGAGUGGAGGACUCUUCAUCCGUUCGGCGGGAGCGACGAGGCCAAGGAGCACGCCAUCUUGGUGUCCUUGGGCAAGGACUUCCGACAGGUGCACGCGCACUGCGUCACCCGCUCGGAGAAGCUGGAUCGCAGAGAAGCCCUCCUUGCAGCCGCCGAAGAGAGAUUCUGGGUAGUCGACGCUGAAACGCAGUCGUGGUUCA
This 239-nucleotide long non-coding RNA is filed under the name Hordeum vulgare. RNAcentral's name for it is "long non-coding RNA (HVUL_LNC001039)". The record is from RNAcentral. Lineage: Eukaryota; Viridiplantae; Streptophyta; Magnoliopsida; Poales; Poaceae.